RNAcentral lists this ribosomal RNA (253 nucleotides) under uncultured bacterium. RNAcentral's name for it is "partial 16S ribosomal RNA". It matches the Rfam family "Bacterial small subunit ribosomal RNA", at positions 524 to 776 of the family's 1533-position model. The record is from RNAcentral.
UACGUAGGGGGCAAGCGUUGUCCGGAAUCAUUGGGCGUAAAGAGCGCGUAGGCGGCCCAGUAAGUCCGCUCUGAAAGUCAGGGGCUCAACCCCUGGAUGCGGGUGGAUACUGCUGGGCUAGAGUCCGGAAGAGGCGAGUAGAAUUCCUGGUGUAGCGGUGGAAUGCGCAGAUAUCAGGAGGAAUACCCAUAGCGAAGGCAGCUCGCUGGGACGGUACUGACGCUAAGGCGCGAAAGCGUGGGGAGCGAACAGG